This 486-nucleotide ribosomal RNA is filed under the name uncultured bacterium. RNAcentral's name for it is "partial 16S ribosomal RNA". It matches the Rfam family "Bacterial small subunit ribosomal RNA", at positions 30 to 507 of the family's 1533-position model. The record is from RNAcentral.
AUUGAACGCUGGCGGAAUGCUUUACACAUGCAAGUCGAACGGCAGCACGGGAGCUUGCUCCUGGUGGCGAGUGGCGAACGGGUGAGUAACAUAUCGGAACGUACCCAGUCGUGGGGGAUAACUAUCCGAAAGGAUAGCUAAUACCGCAUACGUCCUGAGGGAGAAAGCGGGGGAUCGCAAGACCUCGCGCGAUUGGAGCGGCCGAUAUCGGAUUAGCUAGUUGGUGGGGUAAAGGCUCACCAAGGCGACGAUCCGUAGCGGGUCUGAGAGGACGACCCGCCACACUGGAACUGAGACACGGUCCAGACUCCUACGGGAGGCAGCAGUGGGGAAUUUUGGACAAUGGGGGCAACCCUGAUCCAGCCAUUCCGCGUGAGUGAGGAAGGCCUUCGGGUUGUAAAGCUCUUUCAGCAGGAACGAAACGGUCGGCUUUAAUAAAAUCGGCUAAUGACGGUACCUGCAGAAGAAGCACCGGCUAACUACGUG